Molecule: ribosomal RNA, 492 nt
Filed under: uncultured bacterium
Lineage: Bacteria
Description: partial 16S ribosomal RNA
Rfam family: Bacterial small subunit ribosomal RNA
Source: RNAcentral
GAUGAACGCUAGCUACAGGCUUAAUACAUGCAAGUCGAGGGGACACGCCAUCGAAAGCUUGCUUUUGAUGGGCGUCGACCCGCGCGAGGGAGACUAACGCGUAUCCAAUCUGCCCAUCACUUGGGGAUAACCUUGCGAAAGUAAGACUAAUACACAAUGAUAUCCCCAGAAGACAUCAGAAAGAGACUAAAGAUUUAUCGGUUAUGGAUGGGGAUGCGUCUGAUUAGCUUGUUGGCGAGGUAACGGCCUACCAAGGCAACGAUCAGUAGGCGUCCUGAGAGGAAGGUCCCCCAGAAUGGAAAUAAGACACAGACCAAACUCCUACGGGAGGCAGCAGUGACGAAUAUAAGGCAAGAGACGCUAGCCUGAACCAGCCAAGUAGCGGACAAGAAUACGGCGAUAGGGGUUGUAAGCUGUUUUUAUAAGAGAAUAAAGUGAGAGUCGGUACUCUUCUUGUAGGUACCUUAUGAAAAAGGACCGGCUAAUUCCGUG